RNAcentral lists this long non-coding RNA (239 nucleotides) under Capsicum annuum. Its description in RNAcentral is "long non-coding RNA (CANN_LNC002058)". Lineage: Eukaryota; Viridiplantae; Streptophyta; Magnoliopsida; Solanales; Solanaceae. The record is from RNAcentral.
AGUUCUUUUACUGAGAUUGAUAUUGAUAUUGUAGGCGGUAAUCAUCUAACCGAUAUCCCCCAAAUCACGCAUUAUAGAUGAAUUGAGGUCCAAUCUGUGCUCUGAUUAGAAGGGUGUCAAUACCGCACCACUGUUAAGAACAAUAUGUGAGUGACCCUAAUAUACUAGGUAACUCUAAUGAGAAUGGUGGGAACCCUCACAUAGCAGGUUAAGCCACCUCAUCUACCCUCAUAUAGUAG